AUACAGAGGGUGCGAGCGUUAAUCGGAAUUACUGGGCGUAAAGCGCGCGUAGGCGGCUGAUUAAGUCAGAUGUGAAAUCCCAGGGCUCAACCUUGGAACUGCAUCUGAUACUGGUCAACUAGAGUUUAGGAGAGGGAAGUAGAAUUUCAGGUGUAGCGGUGAAAUGCAUAGAUAUCUGAAGGAAUACCAGUGGCGAAGGCGGCUUCCUGGCCAAAAACUGACGCUGAGGUGCGAAAGCGUGGGUAGCAAACGGGAUUAGAAACCCGUGUAGUCC
Molecule: ribosomal RNA, 274 nt
Filed under: uncultured bacterium
Lineage: Bacteria
Description: partial 16S ribosomal RNA
Rfam family: Bacterial small subunit ribosomal RNA
Source: RNAcentral